CAGAGGUCGAGCAUCGCCUGCCAGGACUC
This 29-nucleotide small RNA is filed under the name Bombyx mori (domestic silkworm). RNAcentral's name for it is "ovarian small RNA-13137". The record is from RNAcentral. Lineage: Eukaryota; Metazoa; Arthropoda; Insecta; Lepidoptera; Bombycidae.